RNAcentral lists this ribosomal RNA (402 nucleotides) under uncultured prokaryote. RNAcentral's name for it is "bacterial SSU rRNA". It matches the Rfam family "Bacterial small subunit ribosomal RNA", at positions 355 to 774 of the family's 1533-position model. The record is from RNAcentral.
UAGGGAAUAUUAGAAAUGGACGAAAGUCUGAUCUAGCAACACCGCGUGUGCGAUGAAGGCCUUCGGGUCGUAAAGCACUUUUUGGAAGGAAUAGGAAGGAAUGUACUUCCAGAAUAAGUCUCGGCUAACUACGUGCCAGCAGCCGCGGUAACACGUAGGAGGCAAACGUUAUCCGGAUUUACUGGGCGUAAAGCGCGUGUAGGUGGUACUGUAAGUAGGGCGUGAAAGCUCCUGGCUCAACUGGGAGAGGCCGUUCUAAACUACAGAACUAGAGGAUGGUAGAGGGAGGUGGAAGUCCAGGUGUAGCGGUGGAAUGCGCAGAUAUCUGGAGGAACACCGGUGGCGAAGGCGGCCUCCUGGACCAUUCCUGACACUCAGACGCGAAAGCUAGGGUAGCAAACG